AUACUAGUUUGGUUUAGUUAGUAUAUAUAAUAAUAUACUAACAAGUAGUAUAGUAUAAAAUAAACUUAAGAAUACAUCUUUUUCACUUUGAGUACGUGGUAUUUAAGGAUAAACUUAAUCCAAGCAAGGAGAAGAAGAAGGGGGGGGGACCUGAAUGACAUGGUUGUUGAAGUUGGCACCUUGUUUCUCUUUUCGGGUUCUGUACUCGAUGUAGAGGAGGCUGAUGAGAUAAGCAGUCCAACUGCCGAGAAGCCCAUAGAAGACUUGAAGCACCAGCCCUGACACCAUUCCCAGCUGAGAGAAUGAGUAUGGUAGUGUUAACAGCACUUGUGCCACCUGCCCCCGGCCACACAAACACAUCCAUCCUUCUACUUUCAGAACAGCUAGCAAAAGAGGUCGUCGGCUAAUGGAGUAUAAUCCAAGAAGCAGCUGCUGCUCCAUCAGUUGGCACUUAUACACAUAUUAUUAUGCAGCUGCAAAGAAAGAAAUACUUACUAUAUAUAGAAGAUCGAAGAAAUUAAAAAAAAAAAAAAAGUGAAUGUGGGGGGAUUGAAAGCUAGUGGACAUAUAUAGAAGGGGAACUUAAUAUUUCCCUUUUCUUAGGGGACUUGUAACAUGGGAGCCAACUUUUAUUAUUUUAUAUUGAGUGUGAAAAAGAGUCAGAUUCACUGCAUAUAUAUAUGUGAAACAAAGCAUUACCCCCC
Long non-coding RNA from Erigeron canadensis, 704 nucleotides. RefSeq lists it as uncharacterized. The record is from RefSeq and is a predicted model, not a curated record. NCBI's taxonomy places the organism in Eukaryota, Viridiplantae, Streptophyta, Magnoliopsida, Asterales, Asteraceae. The transcript has 3 exons.